UAAGCACUCCGCCUGGGGAGUACGACCGCAAGGUUGAAACUCAAAGGAAUUGACGGGGGCCCGCACAAGCGGUGGAGCAUGUGGUUUAAUUCGAAGCAACGCGAAGAACCUUACCAGGUCUUGACAUCCUUUGACCACUCUAGAGAUAGAGCUUUCCCUUCGGGGACAAAGUGACAGGUGGUGCAUGGUUGUCGUCAGCUCGUGUCGUGAGAUGUUGGGUUAAGUCCCGCAACGAGCGCAACCCUUAUUGUUAGUUGCCAUCAUUUAGUUGGGCACUCUAGCGAGACUGCCGGUGACAAACCGGAGGAAGGUGGGGAUGACGUCAAAUCAUCAUGCCCCUUAUGACCUGGGCUACACACGUGCUACAAUGGGAAGUACAACGAGUCGCUAGACCGCGAGGUCAUGCAAAUCUCUUAAAGCUUCUCUCAGUUCGGAUUGCAGGCUGCAACUCGCCUGCAUGAAGCCGGAAUCGCUAGUAAUCGCGGAUCAGCACGCCGCGGUGAAUACGUUCCCGGGCCUUGUACACACCGCCCGUCACACCACGAGAGUUUGUAACACCCGAAGUCGGUGAGGUAACCUUUUUGGAGCCAGCCGCCUAAGGUGGGAUAGAUGAUUGGGGUGAAGUCGUAACAAGGUAGCCGUAUCGGAAGGUGCGGCUGGAUCACCUCCUUUCUAAGGAA
Molecule: ribosomal RNA, 680 nt
Filed under: Enterococcus faecalis
Lineage: Bacteria; Bacillati; Bacillota; Bacilli; Lactobacillales; Enterococcaceae
Description: bacterial SSU rRNA
Rfam family: Bacterial small subunit ribosomal RNA
Source: RNAcentral